Molecule: long non-coding RNA, 230 nt
Filed under: Manihot esculenta (cassava)
Lineage: Eukaryota; Viridiplantae; Streptophyta; Magnoliopsida; Malpighiales; Euphorbiaceae
Description: long non-coding RNA (MESC_LNC006953)
Source: RNAcentral
GGGUCAUCCAAGUUGGGCUUUGAUCUACCUGCAAUAUCGUGUUAGUUUUAUUAAAAGCAGGUGUAUGGACCUGUUGUAUGUACACUUCAUCGGGAAGCUGUUCCAGUUCUUCCUUGGAUAAUCGGCUGAGCAGAUCUGCUUUCUCAUUUUCCUCUCGGGGUAUUCUUUGAAACCUGAUGGUUACUCCUCGACCCAUGAGCUCGGCUUCCAAAGUUUUUACUUUAUCAAGG